Phodopus roborovskii (desert hamster) is the source of this 104-nucleotide small nuclear RNA. NCBI's taxonomy places the organism in Eukaryota, Metazoa, Chordata, Mammalia, Rodentia, Cricetidae. The record is from RefSeq and is a predicted model, not a curated record.
UUUGGUAGCAGAUAUUUAAAAAAAAAAAAACUGGAAUAAUGCAAAGAUUAACAUGGCCCCUGUACAAGGAUGACACAAAAACUUGUAAAGCGUUCGAUAUUUGU